RNAcentral lists this ribosomal RNA (468 nucleotides) under uncultured bacterium. RNAcentral describes it as "partial 16S ribosomal RNA". It matches the Rfam family "Bacterial small subunit ribosomal RNA", at positions 28 to 507 of the family's 1533-position model. The record is from RNAcentral.
GACGAACGCUGGCGACGUGCUUAACACAUGCAAGUCGAACGGAAAGGCCCUGCUUUUGUGGGGUGCUCGAGUGGCGAACGGGUGAGUAACACGUGAGUAACCUGCCCUUGACUUUGGGAUAACUUCAGGAAACUGGGGCUAAUACCGGAUAGGAGCUCCUGCUGCAUGGUGGGGGUUGGAAAGUUUCGGCGGUUGGGGAUGGACUCGCGGCUUAUCAGCUUGUUGGUGGGGUAGUGGCUUACCAGGGCUUUGACGGGUAGCCGGCCUGAGAGGGUGACCGGCCACAUUGGGACUGAGAUACGGCCCAGACUCCUACGGGAGGCAGCAGUGUGGAAUAUUGCACAAUGGGCGGAAGCCUGAUGCAGCAACGCCGCGUGCGGGAUGACGGCCUUCGGGUUGUAAACCGCUUUCGCCUGUGACGAAGCGUGAGUGACGGUAAUGGGUAAAGAAGCACCGGCUAACUACGUG